CCUACGGGAGGCAGCAGUGAGGAAUAUUGGUCAAUGGGCGGAAGCCUGAACCAGCCAAGUAGCGUGCAGGAUGACGGCCCUACGGGUUGUAAACUGCUUUUAUACGGGAAUAACGCGCCUUACGUGUAGGUCUUUGCAUGUACCGUAUGAAUAAGGACCGGCUAAUUCCGUGCCAGCAGCCGCGGUAAUACGGAAGGUCCGGGCGUUAUCCGGAUUUAUUGGGUUUAAAGGGAGCGUAGGCGGGAUGUCAAGCGUGCUGUGAAAUGUCCGGGCUCAACCCGGGCCUUGCAGCGCGUACUGGCGGGCUGGAGUCCGGGGAAAGCAGGCGGAAUUCGUGGUGUAGCGGUGAAAUGCUUAGAUAUGACGAAGAACCCCGAUUGCGAAGGCAGCUUGCUGCAGCGGAACUGACGCUGAUGCUCGAAAGCGCGGGUAUCGAACAGGAUUAGAUACCCCUGUAGUC
RNAcentral lists this ribosomal RNA (460 nucleotides) under uncultured bacterium. RNAcentral describes it as "partial 16S ribosomal RNA". It matches the Rfam family "Bacterial small subunit ribosomal RNA", at positions 338 to 795 of the family's 1533-position model. The record is from RNAcentral.